This 351-nucleotide unclassified non-coding RNA is filed under the name soil metagenome. Its description in RNAcentral is "partial contains 5.8S ribosomal RNA, internal transcribed spacer 2, and large subunit ribosomal RNA". The stretch from base 1 to 120 matches the Rfam family "5.8S ribosomal RNA", at positions 35 to 154 of the family's 154-position model. The record is from RNAcentral.
GAUGAAGAACGUAGCGAAAUGCGAAAAGUAAUGUGAAUUGCAGAAUUCAGUGAAUCAUCGAAUCUUUGAACGCACAUUGCGCCCGCUGGUACUCCGGCGGGCACGCCUGUCCGAGCGUCAUUUCAACCCUCAAGCCCUCCUUCGGGAUGGGCCUGGUGUUGGGGCUCGGCCGCAUCUCCGGCGGCCGUCCCCUAAAUACAGUGGCGGUCACGUCGCGACUCCUUUGCGUAGUAGAAACACCUCGCUCCGGAUAGCAACGCGGUCCACGCCGUAAAACCCCCAAUUUUCAAUGGUUGACCUCGGAUCAGGUGGGAAUACCCGCUGAACUUAAGCAUAUCAAUAAGCGGAGGA